Molecule: ribosomal RNA, 1453 nt
Filed under: uncultured cyanobacterium
Lineage: Bacteria; Bacillati; Cyanobacteriota
Also listed under: 1 other name
Description: bacterial SSU rRNA
Rfam family: Bacterial small subunit ribosomal RNA
Source: RNAcentral
UAGAGUUUGAUCCUGGCUCAGGAUGAACGCUGGCGGUAUGCUUAACACAUGCAAGUCGAACGGGGGUCUUCGGACCCUAGUGGCGGACGGGUGAGUAACGCGUGAGAAUCUACCUUCAGGUUGGGGACAACAGUUGGAAACGGCUGCUAAUACCCAAUGUGCCGGGAGGUGAAAGGCUUGCUGCCUGAAGAAGAGCUCGCGUCUGAUUAGCUAGUUGGAGUGGUAAUGGCACACCAAGGCAACGAUCAGUAGCUGGUCUGAGAGGAUGAUCAGCCACACUGGGACUGAGACACGGCCCAGACUCCUACGGGGGGCAGCAGUGGGGAAUUUUCCGCAAUGGGCGAAAGCCUGACGGAGCAAUACCGCGUGAGGGAGGAAGGCUUUUGGGUUGUAAACCUCUUUUGAUUGGGAAGAAGAACUGACGGUACCAAUCGAAUCAGCAUCGGCUAACUCCGUGCCAGCAGCCGCGGUAAUACGGAGGAUGCAAGCGUUAUCCGGAUUUAUUGGGCGUAAAGCGUCCGCAGGUGGCUUAUCAAGUCUGCUGUCAAAGCGCGGAGCUUAACUCCGUACAGGCGGUGGAAACUGGUAGGCUAGAGUCUGGUAGGGGUUGCGGGAAUUCCCAGUGUAGCGGUGAAAUGCGUAGAUAUUGGGAAGAACACCGGCGGCGAAAGCGCGCAACUGGACCGGAACUGACACUCAUGGACGAAAGCUAGGGGAGCGAAAGGGAUUAGAUACCCCUGUAGUCCUAGCCGUAAACGAUGGAGACUAGGUGUUGCCCGUAUCGACCCGGGCAGUGCCGUAGCUAACGCGUUAAGUCUCCCGCCUGGGGAGUACGCACGCAAGUGUGAAACUCAAAGGAAUUGACGGGGGCCCGCACAAGCGGUGGAGUAUGUGGUUUAAUUCGAUGCAACGCGAAGAACCUUACCAGGGCUUGACAUGUCGCGAAUCCUCCUGAAAGGGGGGAGUGCCUACGGGAGCGCGAACACAGGUGGUACAUGGCUGUCGUCAGCUCGUGUCGUGAGAUGUUGGGUUAAGUCCCGCAACGAGCGCAACCCUCGUUUCUAGUUGCCAUCAUUAAGUUGGGCACUCUGGAGAGACUGCCGGUGACAAACCGGAGGAAGGUGGGGAUGACGUCAAGUCAGCAUGCCCCUUACGUCCUGGGCUACACACGUACUACAAUGCUGUGGACAAAGAGCAGCCAGACCGCGAGGUUGAGCUAAUCUCAUAAACCACGGCUCAGUUCAGAUUGCAGGCUGCAACUCGCCUGCAUGAAGGCGGAAUCGCUAGUAAUCGCAGGUCAGCAUACUGCGGUGAAUACGUUCCCGGGCCUUGUACACACCGCCCGUCACACCAUGGGAGUUGGCCACGCCCGAAGUCGUUACUCCAACCGCUUGCGGAGGAGGACGCCGAAGGCAGGGCUGAUGACUGGGGUGAAGUCGUAACAAGGUAACCA